This 474-nucleotide unclassified non-coding RNA is filed under the name Melitaea cinxia (Glanville fritillary). RNAcentral's name for it is "misc RNA ENSMCXG00005008950.1". The record is from RNAcentral. Lineage: Eukaryota; Metazoa; Arthropoda; Insecta; Lepidoptera; Nymphalidae.
UCCAACAAUAAUUGUGUUUGCUCGCAAACGAAAACAAACCGACUUCAAUUACAUCGACAAGUAAUACAACGUAGAUCGACGAAAAAUAGUCAAGCAACUACGCGUUAUCAACGAUUACUCAAAAAGUAGUUAUCAGAUCUCAAUAAAAUAUAUAUAUGUGACCACAUGAUAAACAUCAGCUUUCGAUUAAAUUAAAAAUUAUCAAAAUCGGUACACCCAGUAAAAAGUUAUUGCGGAUUUUCGAGAGUUUCCCUCGAUUUAUCUGAGAUCCCAUCAUCAGAUCCUGGUUUCCUUAUCAUGGUACCAAACUAGGGAUACCCCCUUUCCAACAAAAAAAGAAUUAUCAAAAUCGGUACAUCCAGUAGAAAGUUAUGCGGUAUAAUACAACGUAGGUCGACGAAAAAAGCGUCAAGUAAAAACGCAUUAUUAGAUAUAAUUCGAAAAGUAGUUGUUAGUUCUCAAAUAAAUUUAAAU